GAUGAACGCUGGCGGCGUGCCUAAUACAUGCAAGUCGAGCGAACAGACGAGGAGCUUGCUCCUUUGACGUUAGCGGCGGACGGGUGAGUAACACGUAGGUAACCUACCUAUAAGACUGGGAUAACUUCGGGAAACCGGAGCUAAUACCGGAUAAUAUUUCGAACCGCAUGGUUCGAUAGUGAAAGAUGGCUUUGCUAUCACUUAUAGAUGGACCUGCGCCGUAUUAGCUAGUUGGUAAGGUAACGGCUUACCAAGGCAACGAUACGUAGCCGACCUGAGAGGGUGAUCGGCCACACUGGAACUGGGACACGGUCCAGACUCCUACGGGAGGCAGCAGUAGGGAAUCUUCCGCAAUGGGCGAAAGCCUGACGGAGCAACGCCGCGUGAGUGAUGAAGGUCUUCGGAUCGUAAAACUCUGUUAUUAGGGAAGAACAAACGUGUAAGUAACUGUGCACGUCUUGACGGUACCUAAUCAGAAAGCCACGGCUAACUACGUG
This 497-nucleotide ribosomal RNA is filed under the name uncultured bacterium. RNAcentral's name for it is "partial 16S ribosomal RNA". It matches the Rfam family "Bacterial small subunit ribosomal RNA", at positions 28 to 507 of the family's 1533-position model. The record is from RNAcentral.